RNAcentral lists this ribosomal RNA (292 nucleotides) under uncultured bacterium. RNAcentral describes it as "partial 16S ribosomal RNA". The record is from RNAcentral.
GGACUACAGGGGUUUCUAAUCCCGUUUGCUCCCCACGCUUUCGCGCAUCAGCGUCAGAACCGGUCCAGUGAGCCGCCUUCGCCACUGGUGUUCCUCCCAAUAUCUACGCAUUUCACCGCUACACUGGGAAUUCCACUCACCUCUCCCGGCCUCAAGCAAAGCAGUCUGGAAGGCAGUUCCCCGGUUAAGCCGGGGGAUUUCACCUUCCACUUGCCAAGCCGCCUACGCGCCCUUUACGCCCAAUAAUUCCGAAUAACGCUUGCCCCCUCUGUAUUACCGCGGCUGCUGGCAC